CGCCGUCCUGACGUGCCCAAAUGUGCACCACUUAACUACUAUAUAUGUAUCGGCAGUCCCAUAAGAUAAAAGGGUAAGUCUCCCCAAUAGUCACAUGUAGACCCGGGGUCAAAACCCCUACCCAACAACUCACGAGUCAAAGUCCGGACCACAUUCCCGUCAUGACACCUCGGGACGUAUCCCAACGUUCACACAAGGCCCAUCGCAUAUCGGCAACGUUUAAAUUUCACCUCGCCCAGAGCCUUCGUGAGC
Molecule: long non-coding RNA, 252 nt
Filed under: Volvox carteri
Lineage: Eukaryota; Viridiplantae; Chlorophyta; Chlorophyceae; Chlamydomonadales; Volvocaceae
Description: long non-coding RNA (VCAR_LNC003192)
Source: RNAcentral